UAGUACGGCGAGUGAGCGGCAACAGCUCAAAUUUGAAAUCUGGCGUGCUCAGUGCGUCCGAGUUGUAAUCUAUAGAGUCGUUUUCCGUGCCGGACUGUGUCCAAGUCCCUUGGAACAGGGUAUCAAAGAGGGUGAUAAUCCCGUACUUGACACAAUGACCGGUGCUCUGUGAUACGUCUUCUACGAGUCGAGUUGUUUGGGAAUGCAGCUCAAAAUGGGUGGUGAGUUCCAUCUAAAGCUAAAUAUUGGCGAGAGACCGAUAGCGAACAAGUACCGUGAGGGAAAGAUGAAAAGCACUUUGGAAAGAGAGUUAAACAGUACGUGAAAUUGUUAAAAGGGAAACGAUUGAAGUCAGUCGUGACUGAGAGGCUCAGCCGGUUCUGCCGGUGUAUUCCCCUCAGUCGGGUCAACAUCAGUUUUGUUCGGUGGAUAAGGGCAGUUGGAAGGUGGCACCCUCGGGUGUGUUAUAGCCAGCUGUCGCAUACAUCGGAUGAGACUGAGGAAUGCAGCUCGCCUUUAUGGCCGGGGUUCGCCCACGUUCGAGCUUAGGAUGUUGACAUAAUGGCUUUAAACGACCCGUCUUG
Molecule: ribosomal RNA, 584 nt
Filed under: uncultured Cryptococcus
Lineage: Eukaryota; Fungi; Basidiomycota; Tremellomycetes
Description: eukaryotic LSU rRNA
Rfam family: Eukaryotic large subunit ribosomal RNA
Source: RNAcentral